UGUGUAGAGGCGUGAAAGGUGCUGUGUUCUCUCUCAGCAAAUUUCUUGCCUUUUGCAGC
This is a microRNA precursor of Monodelphis domestica (gray short-tailed opossum), 59 nucleotides long. Ensembl annotates it as mdo-mir-7398q. The record is from Ensembl. NCBI's taxonomy places the organism in Eukaryota, Metazoa, Chordata, Mammalia, Didelphimorphia, Didelphidae.